AGGCGGAACGGUCAGUGUCUUGUGAAAUCCCUCGGCUCAACCGUGGAAUUGCAGGGCAUACUGCCGUUCUUGAGGCCGGUAGAGGUCGUCGGAACUGUAGAUGUAGCGGUGAAGUGCGUAGAUAUCUACAGGAACGCCAAAGACGAAGGUAGACGACUGGGCCGGUUCUGACGCUCAGGCACGAAAGCGUGGGGAGCAAACAGGAUUAGAUACCCUGGUAGUCCACGCCGUAAACGAUGCGCACUAGAUUCGGGAGGUUCUGACACCAUCCGGGUCGAAGCAAAAGUGUUAAGCGCGCCGCCUGGGGAGUACGGUCGCAAGAUUAAAACUCAAAGGAAUUGACGGGGGCUCACACAAGCGGUGGAGCAUGUGGCUUAAUUCGAAGCAACGCGAAGAACCUUAUCCUGGGUUUGACAUGCACGGAUGCCCUCGGUGAAAGCCGAGUAAGCUGCCCUCGUGGUGAAACGUGCACAGGUGCUGCAUGGCUGUCGUCAGCUCGUGCUGUGAAGUGUUGGGUUAAGUCCCUUAACGAGCGAAACCCUUGUCGUUAGUUGCCAGCGCGCCUUCGGGUGGCGGGGACUCUAACGAGACUGCCGGUGUCAAACCGGAGGAAGGCGGGGAUGACGUCAAGUCCUCAUGGCCUUUAUGCCCAGGGCUGCACACGUGCUACAAUGGCGCGAACAGAGCGAAGCAAUACCGCAAGGUGGAGCAAAUCGCACAAAUCGUGCCCCAGUUCAGAUUGGGGUCUGCAACUCGACCCCAUGAAGGUGGAAUCGCUA
Molecule: ribosomal RNA, 779 nt
Filed under: uncultured Planctomycetota bacterium
Lineage: Bacteria; Pseudomonadati; Planctomycetota
Description: bacterial SSU rRNA
Rfam family: Bacterial small subunit ribosomal RNA
Source: RNAcentral